GGGGCUGACUGGCUUUGACAGCGAGAUGAAAUGGUUUGUAAGCAUGCAGUGCAUAGUCGGCUGGCACUAUAAUCUUAGACGUCACAAAUUUAACUGGCAAUAACAAUUACGCUCUUGCUGCUUAAUCGAAGUAUAGUAGAUAUAGCUUAAUCCUUGCACAGGUGUAAGGACAAGACAUCACCCGGAAGCUGUGGCUUCGAAGCGUACCGAUAAGGUGGUGCAGGCAAAUCGGAGAUAGGAUAGGAGAGGCUUCGGCUUUUAUCUGAAAUAAAGAAGCUAAGGUUUAGAUUGGUGGCUUCGGUCUUGUCUACUCCCUACAAUUUAAGCGAAGAUAAGCAUGUAGAAAGCAAAUUAGUUCCUUGUUUGGACGAGGGUUCAAUUCCCUCCAGCUCCACAA
Dysgonomonas gadei ATCC BAA-286 is the source of this 397-nucleotide non-coding RNA. It matches the Rfam family "transfer-messenger RNA". From Rfam's summary of the family: Bacterial tmRNA, also known as 10Sa RNA or SsrA, is named for its dual tRNA and mRNA-like properties. Its role is to liberate the mRNA from a stalled ribosome. Lineage: Bacteria; Pseudomonadati; Bacteroidota; Bacteroidia; Bacteroidales; Dysgonomonadaceae. The record is from Rfam.